RNAcentral lists this unclassified non-coding RNA (1663 nucleotides) under Hevea brasiliensis (rubber tree). The record is from RNAcentral. Lineage: Eukaryota; Viridiplantae; Streptophyta; Magnoliopsida; Malpighiales; Euphorbiaceae.
GGGAAACUUAUCUAGAAGAAGUUGUCAAAUUGUAAUAAGAAACUUGUGAUGGCUGAACAUAUAUUUUAAUUAUUAUACAUCGCAAAUUUGCUGAAAAUGAUUGAUAAAGUCAGUGUUAAAGCAUGUCUUGAAUUGAUACAAGAGGACUCACAUUAAUGGCAAAAUCUUGCUAUGGCCCAAGAUGAAUCUUCCACAAUCUUGAAAAAGAAGAUUCAAUCUUGAAUGAAUCUUUCAAAUAUUUGACUGAGGUUUAAUUUAUCUUUCCUGUUAAGAAUGUGCUGCCAAAUAUGCUUUAACACCAAGCACAAUUUAUGGCUAUAAAUAGCCAUCAUUCCAACUGGAGAGGCAAGGCAAGGAGGAGUGGGUGUGAAAAGAAAGAGCAAGUGUGAGUAGGGUGAAGUGAGUGAGAUUUGGGUGUAGUGGGUCAAUGGGUUGAGAGAAAUUCAAUUGUCUUUGUAAAUCUCCCAAUUUCUUGGUGAAAAUUCUUUGAUUGUCUUCACCUGUGGACGAAGGCCUUAUUGUCAACCAUAUUCUUAGAUUCCUGGGGAUGCCAUUUCCGCAACAGUCAGCAUGUCAAAGGCUGUACCUAAGUUGACAAGAGAUUGAAUGAUACGAUAAUGGACUCUACUCUUUGAGUUGGUGUCUGACUGUUUGAAGUGCUGUACUGAGGAUUCCGACGACUCCAUGAGCAAGAUUACUUAUUCUGGUGCAGUACUGGAGGUUUGCAUGAGGAAAUUAGUGUUCUAUCCUGAAAUUGUCGGUUUCAUUGAAGAGGAGAAGGACAAGUUUCCUACUGUUAAAGUUCAAUAUAUUUUCAAUUCUCCACCAAAGUUGAUCAUGCUGGAUGACGAGGGUAAACAUAAAGAAAUCAUUAGGUUCAAGUGUAUCAUCAUAUCUUUCUGCUUGCCUUAUGCAACCUCAAGGAUGCUAUGCCAUGGUUGCUAGAAUGAUGAAAACAGUACACUUGUACAUAUGCACCUAUACCAUAACCCCACCUAUCUUCAGGUACUAAUUUGGAACCUUCCCGGACAGCCUGAAUUGAUUGGCAUACCCCUUUUUGCCUCUCAUGUAACAAAAUGCCCCUCCCCCUGUCAAUUAUGCUGAAAAUUGUGUGUGCAUAUGCAUGUGUAAAGCACAAGAAAUGUACAUAAGCCUUGUUUUGAUCUUCUGAAGGAAAUACCAGCUCUCAUACUACAAUUACAUCUUUCAAGUUUCUUGAGCAGUGAAUAUGUCACUUUUUUGAAAGCUCAAUGAUAUAUUAUCUUUGCCUCUGCAGAAUUGACAACUGGAAAUGCGAACAUAUGUUGCAGUUCCUCCGUGAGAAGGUUAAGUCAGCUUCAUACUGAGUGGUUUAGUUCUGUUAAUCUCUACUUUCAGUUCUGUCUAAUUUUAAGUUUUACUCCAAUGUGGGACAAAAAUCAAAUUAAAAAAAGAAUGGAGUGAUAAUCAACACUAGACAUAAGUUAUUAUUCCCUCUUAUUUUUCUCUCUGUAUACGAUGGAGUCAUAGGAAUCAAUGGCAGGGACUUCCCUUCAAGGAUAUUUAGAACAAACUUUUUAGGAAUUUAAACUGGCUAUGCUUUUUUGUUCUGAUCAUAAAACUUAUUAGUAUAGUAUUGUUAUUUAAUUUCGAUUCAACUUUGAUUUUAUUUCAUCAAUUUCUG